CCUACGGGAGGCAGCAGUAAGGAAUAUUGGUCAAUGGAGGCAACUCUGAACCAGCCAUGCCGCGUGCAGGAAGACUGCCCUAUGGGUUGUAAACUGCUUUUAUCCGGGAAUAAACCUGCUUACGUGUAAGUAGCUGAAUGUACCGGAAGAAUAAGGAUCGGCUAACUCCGUGCCAGCAGCCGCGGUAAUACGGAGGAUCCAAGCGUUAUCCGGAUUUAUUGGGUUUAAAGGGUGCGUAGGCGGCCUGUUAAGUCAGGGUGAAGAA
RNAcentral lists this ribosomal RNA (265 nucleotides) under uncultured bacterium. RNAcentral describes it as "partial 16S ribosomal RNA". It matches the Rfam family "Bacterial small subunit ribosomal RNA", at positions 338 to 600 of the family's 1533-position model. The record is from RNAcentral.